GACGAACGCUGGCGGCGUGCUUAACACAUGCAAGUCGAACGGAAAGGCCCUGCUUUUUUGUGGUUCUCGAGUGGCGAACGGGUGAGUAACACGUGAAUAACCUUCCUUUGACUUUGGAAUAACUUCAGGAAACUGGGGCUAAUGCCUGAUAGGAGCUCCUGCUGCAUGGUGGGGGUUGGAAAGUUUGGGUGUUUGGGGAUGGACUUGGGGCUUAUCAGCUUGUUGGUGGGGUAGUGGCUUACCGAGUCAUUGACGGGUAGCCGGCCUGAGAGGGUGACCGGCCACAUUGCGACUGAGAUACGGCGCAGACUGGUACGGGAGGCAGCAGUCGGGAACAUGACACAAUGGGCGGAAGCGUGAUGCGACAACGCCGCGUGCGGGAUGCAGGCCUUGGUGUUGUAAAGCGCAUUAGCCUGUGACGAAGCGUGAGUGACGGUAAUGGGUAAAGAAGCACCGGCUAACUACGUG
RNAcentral lists this ribosomal RNA (468 nucleotides) under uncultured bacterium. RNAcentral's name for it is "partial 16S ribosomal RNA". It matches the Rfam family "Bacterial small subunit ribosomal RNA", at positions 28 to 507 of the family's 1533-position model. The record is from RNAcentral.